GGAGAGGUCGCAUAGUGGUCUAGUGCGGCGGUUUCGAAAACCGCUGUUUUCGUAAGGAAACCGUGAGUUCGAAUCUCACCCUCUCCG
Molecule: transfer RNA, 87 nt
Filed under: Candidatus Levybacteria bacterium RBG_13_35_9
Lineage: Bacteria; Candidatus Levyibacteriota
Description: tRNA-Ser
Rfam family: tRNA
About the family: Transfer RNA (tRNA) molecules are approximately 80 nucleotides in length.
Source: RNAcentral